RNAcentral lists this ribosomal RNA (255 nucleotides) under uncultured marine alveolate. Its description in RNAcentral is "partial 18S ribosomal RNA". It matches the Rfam family "Eukaryotic small subunit ribosomal RNA", at positions 617 to 877 of the family's 1831-position model. The record is from RNAcentral.
GGUAAAAAAGCUCGUAGUUGGAUUUCUGUUGAGGGCGACCGGUCCAUACCACGUAUGCGCAUCUGGCUCGGCCUCGGCAUCCUCUCGCAAGACGUUUCUGCGCUUGAUUGCGUGGAGCGGAUUACGGGACUUUUACUUUGAGGAAAUUAGAGUGUUCACGGCAGGCUAUCGCCAGAAUAUAUUAGCAUGGAAUAAUACUAUAGGAUCUCGGUUCUAUUUUGUUGGUUUCUAGACCUGAGAUAAUGAUUAAUAGGG